Long non-coding RNA from Strigops habroptila (Kakapo), 1945 nucleotides. The record is from Ensembl. Lineage: Eukaryota; Metazoa; Chordata; Aves; Psittaciformes; Psittacidae.
GAUUCUUCUAUUUACUGUCGAUCAUAUGCAAAGUCUUACAGCAAAACACAGAAAGAAGUGUCAAGAGGGUGGAGGUGGGUCUCACACUGAAUUCGGGAGGAGCAAAUGAAGCUGCAACGGCUUACAAGGAAAUCAAUUUCCUUGUAAAUCACACAAGACUAAGGUUGGCAUGUCAUUAUAAAUCCAGAACUAAGCACGACGUGCCCCACUGCAGUACCUCUCCCUGGUUUAUGAAUUGGUCUGAAAAUUGUUUCGAUGUCAAAACAUUCACACAAGUGAAAUAUUUAUUAGUGUAACUGCCACAUGAGGAGGAACCGAGACCACUAUCUAUAGCAGCAAUAACCGUAAAAAAAAAGAGCCUGACAUUUAGCAGGAGACUAAUAAAGACAUUUCUCAGGAGUCUUUAGUAUAGCUGGGACCGUGAGUGUUAAUUUCCAUAAUGCUGUGUUGUUGUCAUUAAUGAAUGUGCUAAUGAUUUCUUAAUUCUUCAUUUAGACUGAUAAUUGCUGAUUAGAAUGUCUGGGAAUGGAGAUCAACUGAUUUACACCAUCUCCCACUCUGGCCGAGGGUUCUGAAGGUUGCACCUGGGAUGAACAUUCCUAUUGCCGACAGAUGCAUAAACGCAAACACAAUUGUUCCAAGAUUCCCUCUUCCUAUAGAUUACAAAUUACACUGAGAGGCAGGGAUAAGAGGUGGUGUAGAAGGCAGUGGGUGCGGCAGAUUUCCCCUUAUAAAAUCUGGUAUAUGUCUUCCACUGUUCAUUCAAAAGAGUAGAAGGCAGAAGAACGAGAGUACCACAAAAGUGUAACAGAUAUAUAUAGCCGCUGCAUCCAUCAUACAGCAGCAAAAGGUGUGUGUAUCCACAUAUAUACAUACGUACACCUAUAUAUGUGUAUAUGUAUAUACACAAAAUUCCUUUAUAAAACAAAUUCUUGAGGGCAAUAGUUUUUAACCAGUGGUCCAUAAUUCUUAAAUUUGAAACUGGAUUACUUUUAAAGGUUCCAUAAACAUAAUUCAAGCAAAAUGUGCUUCUUGCCAGCAGACUUAAAUCAGUCUCAUGUCGCUUAAAAAUUAUUCUAGGCCUAAAAGAAAAACAGCUGAAACUCCACUGUUUUAAGAAAUUCCAGACAUGAUAAGCUCUAAUCUUCAGUUAAUUCCAAAGGACCAUUAUACUGAACUCUCUGGAAAAUGGUAUUUCUGUUCUCUUUUAACCAGGGCUCUAUGCAUUAAUAUAGUCUUAUUAAUACUAUGACCUCUGGAUGUUAUCUUUAAGAACAUCAGAAGUUGUUCUUUUGCUUGGCUGGCUGCUUUUCCUGUUGCAUUUUAAAACGGUUUCUUGCGUAUUGCUUAAAAUGGAAUUUGGAGGCUGUGUUGCCAGUCGUGGCUGCAGAAACAGCACUGAAGCCAAAUACAAUAAAUCACUCCAGUACAUCUUUCAGCUGUAAUCUAUAUUAAUUAUUUGAAAAUCAAUUUAUGGCUAUUUUAUUGUGCUUUUAUGCAAACAGAUACCCAGGAGCUACAAAUACGCAUCCUGCUAGCUGUGUCAAGUGCAUACUUCUUGGAAGCAACAUUGCUAUUCCUCCCUUCCUGACACAGGUAGAAAUGAAUUUGAAAGAACAUCCUUUAAUAAAUAAUUACUGGUUUUCCCUUUCUCAGAAUUCGGCUACACAAAUCUGUGCACGGUCACAUAUCAAAGUAUCUCCAGCUGGGCAGCAUUAAGAGUACAGGAGAGAGGAAUUGUGAGUGUAAAGGAUCACCCAGAGCAAUUUCUACUUUACUUCUAUGCCACCCGUAACUGACCUUCGUCAGAGGAAGUCUCCUGGCCAGCUGCUCAUUCCUCCUCUCCUUCUCAGCUGCCCACGCCUGUGGGGCAAAGGGGCGAGAACACAUAGCUGCAGGUAGGCAAGAACAUGCAGUAACAGCAUACACUGCUUAUUGUUGGCUG